CCAGUGGCGCUUUGAUUGCUACCGGCAAACCGGCGCCGGCGUCAUUUCUUUCCCGUCAUUCAUCGCAUUUCUUUCAUUUGGUUGUCCGUGUAGAAUUCCGGCAAAAAUUCAACCGUGAAAGAUGGAUGGUGGAGGAAUGCGUGGUAGAGGAGGCUACUCCAGAGGGAUGAGCCGAGGGGACUUCACAAGAGGCCGUGGUGGACCCACCAGAGGCCGCGGUGGACCGCCUGGUGCUUUCCGAGGUGCGCCACGAGGAGGCGGGGAAUUCCAAGGGCAUGGGCGGGGUGACUUCACACCACGAGGUCGCGGAGAUUUCUCACGAGGUCGGGGUGGUGCUGGUGACUUCUCUUCGCGAGGCACUGGAGAGUUUGUCCCCCGAGGUCGGGGCUUUACGCCGCGUGGACGUGGGGGGCCUCCCACACGUGGUGACUUCACACCAAGGGGCCGUGGAGACUUUGCACCAAGAGGUCGUGGGGACUUCGCACCAAGGGGCCGCGGGGACUUCGCACCAAGGGGCCGUGGAGACUUCACACCAAGGGGCCGCGGUGACUUCGCACCACGGGGCCGCGGAGACUUCGCACCAAGGGGCCGUGGAGAUUUUGCACCCCGUGGAAGGGGUGACUUCAACACUGCGAGGGGAGGUGGCUUUGUGGGAGGACCACCUGUAGCUGGUGGACCACCAAUGCGUGGAGGGCCUGCCUUAAGGGGAGAUGCCCCACCGGGAGUUGGCCAUGGCAUGCUACCACCACGUGGUGGCAUGGGGGCUGGAGGACCACCUGCUAAGCGGGGUCGCUGGGAGGGACCCCCGAAUACGGGAGCUUCCUAUCAGGACAACUACUACAACAACGGAGCAAGCCAAGAUUAUGGUAACACUGGUGGCUAUGACGAUGGCUAUGGACAAGCACCUGUCAGUCGGAGCACCUACCAGGACUCGUAUGCAGCACCUUCAGACAUGAUGGGCAAUGGCUAUCAGGGUCCCGGAGUUGGAGUAGGUGGCAACGCAGGCGGCUAUGGCGAAGGUGCUGGUGGCUACAACACCGAUUACAACAAGCCCCCAAUGGAGAGGGGAGGUGGUGACUUCAGAAGUGGUGGUGCUGGCUAUGCACCCCCCGUUGGUGGCGUCGGUGGCGGUGGCGGCUACGCCAGCAGCUACGACGACAGGGGUUAUGGGGGAAGGCAAGAUGGUGGCUACGGGGGAGGACGCCCAGCGGCUGACAACUUCAGUGGAGCCUUCGCAAGUCCGUCAUUCUAUGGAGAGGGCACAGCACCAGUGGCUCCACAGGCUUACGGCCAAGUAUUUCACACUACCAUGACAUAAUCUCGUUCAUGAAAGCCAGCGUCUCGGCCGUUGCCGCUGCUACACAGAAGGAAGCCUCAUGCACCAUUUUACUCUUCGUAUACCACAUCUUCAAGUGUCUAUAAAGAAGUUAUAAUACAUAUGCAUGGCUAUGUGUCUUGCUUUAGUAAUGCCUAAUGCAGUCUAGGUGCAGUGACAAGUUCACGUAACCCUGUCCACUGCCAGUUGUGUUACCUUAACCUAUUUAUGCGAGCACAGCUUUCAACCUUGGAGUGUUUUGUUACUCUUUCACCUGGCAGAUGAGUAAGCCAUACCUACAGUACUUGCACAUGCUCAGCAUGGCAUCACUGUUGCAGCAAAGCUGCAAAUUUAUUACGAGUCUUUUGACCAAGUUGCAAUAAGUGCUGUGGAUGAUGCUGUGCUGCAUACAAACCAUCAUGAGUAGGUACUGAUGAAGUGCCAUUUACCUAAAUGGCUUGGCACGCCUUUGCAGUAAUUCAAGACAGUCUUGAUUUGCAACCAAAAAAAGAAGUUCCUUACUGUAAACACCUAAUAAUCCAGAGCACCUUUCAUCAUUUACAACUAGACAUAUGCUGCUUGCAGCUCAGUGCAGUAUAAACCUCUAUUGAAGCAAAUAUGCCAUGCUGUUAUGAAAAACAUCGCCUGCUUCUAUAUCCAUUUGUAUGCUGGUGCUGAGAAAGUGCAGCGAAGCGUUGCACGUGAACACUAGACCACAAAGCUUGGUUCCGCGAUGCUGAAAUCAAUUGCAUCCAAGGAUGAUAAGUACCACAGGUUGAAGCACCUUUCCUGUGAACGAGUGAGCAUCAAUAUUCUAUAGGGAUGUGCAUCAUUGGUGGAGAGCCAAUUGGAACUGAGUCCCACUGCACAUCAGAACUGAUGGCAGCCUGUCAACCAUGUUGGCCUGGCAAGGUCCCCAAGACCGGCAAUGGGCACAAGUCCCCUGUAGCACCUUAAUUGCUCGUGUCAAAAAUAAAGAUCAUAUGGAGGUUU
Dermacentor andersoni is the source of this 2308-nucleotide RNA transcript. RefSeq lists it as uncharacterized. The record is from RefSeq and is a predicted model, not a curated record. NCBI's taxonomy places the organism in Eukaryota, Metazoa, Arthropoda, Arachnida, Ixodida, Ixodidae.